RNAcentral lists this transfer RNA (75 nucleotides) under Mycobacterium heckeshornense. RNAcentral describes it as "tRNA-Arg". It matches the Rfam family "tRNA". Rfam says of the family: Transfer RNA (tRNA) molecules are approximately 80 nucleotides in length. Their secondary structure includes four short double-helical elements and three loops (D, anti-codon, and T loops). Further hydrogen bonds mediate the characteristic L-shaped molecular structure. tRNAs have two regions of fundamental functional importance: the anti-codon, which is responsible for specific mRNA codon recognition, and the 3' end, to which the tRNAs corresponding amino acid is attached (by aminoacyl-tRNA synthetases). tRNAs cope with the degeneracy of the genetic code in two manners: having more than one tRNA (with a specific anti-codon) for a particular amino acid; and 'wobble' base-pairing, i.e. permitting non-standard base-pairing at the 3rd anti-codon position. The record is from RNAcentral. Lineage: Bacteria; Bacillati; Actinomycetota; Actinomycetes; Mycobacteriales; Mycobacteriaceae.
GCGCCCGUAGCUCAACGGAUAGAGCAUCUGACUACGGAUCAGAAGGUUGGGGGUUCGAAUCCCUUCGGGCGCGCC